Molecule: ribosomal RNA, 442 nt
Filed under: uncultured bacterium
Lineage: Bacteria
Description: bacterial SSU rRNA
Rfam family: Bacterial small subunit ribosomal RNA
Source: RNAcentral
UACGGGAGGCAGCAGUGGGGAAUAUUGCACAAUGGGCGCAAGCCUGAUGCAGCCAUGCCGCGUGUAUGAAGAAGGCCUUCGGGUUGUAAAGUACUUUCAGUCGUGAGGAAGGUGUUAAGGUUAAUAACCUUAGCAAUUGACGUUAGCGACAGAAGAAGCACCGGCUAACUCCGUGCCAGCAGCCGCGGUAAUACGGAGGGUGCGAGCGUUAAUCGGAAUUACUGGGCGUAAAGGGCACGCAGGCGGUUAAUUAAGUUGGAUGUGAAAUCCCCGGGCUUAACCUGGGAAUGGCAUUCAAGACUGGUUAGCUAGAGUCUUGUAGAGGGGGUAGAAUUCCGAUGUGUAGCGGUGAAAUGCGUAGAGAUGUGGAGGAAUACCGGUGGCGAAGGCGGCCCCUGGGACAAAGGCUGACGCUCAUGUGCGAAAGCGUGGGGAGCGAAAC